RNAcentral lists this ribosomal RNA (204 nucleotides) under Meliosma alba. RNAcentral describes it as "partial 26S ribosomal RNA". It matches the Rfam family "Eukaryotic large subunit ribosomal RNA", at positions 1 to 204 of the family's 3401-position model. The record is from RNAcentral. Lineage: Eukaryota; Viridiplantae; Streptophyta; Magnoliopsida; Proteales; Sabiaceae.
CGACCCCAGGUCAGGCGGGACUACCCGCUGAGUUUAAGCAUAUCAAUAAGCGGAGGAGAAGAAACUUACAAGGAUUCCCCUAGUAACGGCGAGCGAACCGGGAUCAGCCCAGCUUGAGAAUCGAGCGGCACCGUCGUUCGAAUUGUAGUCUGUAGAAGCGUCCUCAGCGACGGACCGGGCCCAAGUCCCCUGGAAGGGGGCGCC